ACACGAGAAGGGAGGUGGUUCGGCAGAUGAUUUCGCACCGGACGCGUGAGGUGGCUGCGGGCUAGCGGCCCGUCGCUUCACCCGAAGUGCAGCGCCGGACCAGCGCAUACUGCAGAUGCGCAGCCGGCCAAUCCCAAGCAGUCACCCGACCCGCGGGCUGCCGGUUCGUCCGACCGGCCCUCUGCGCCACCGAGCGCGGAGGAAGCAGCCCGCGGGUCGUCUGCG
Molecule: non-coding RNA, 225 nt
Organism: Streptomyces sp. 2114.4
Lineage: Bacteria; Bacillati; Actinomycetota; Actinomycetes; Kitasatosporales; Streptomycetaceae
Source: Rfam